This is a non-coding RNA of Oncorhynchus mykiss (rainbow trout), 145 nucleotides long. The record is from RefSeq and is a predicted model, not a curated record. NCBI's taxonomy places the organism in Eukaryota, Metazoa, Chordata, Actinopteri, Salmoniformes, Salmonidae.
GUUCUGAUCUCUAUAGCCUCUAUAGGUCCUGUUCUGAUCUCUAUAGGUCCUGUUCUGAUCUCUAUAGCCUCUAUAGGUCCUGUUCUGAUCUCUAUAGCCUCUAUAGGUCCUGUUCUGAUCUCUAUAGCCUCUAUAGGUCCUGUUC